Molecule: ribosomal RNA, 497 nt
Filed under: uncultured bacterium
Lineage: Bacteria
Description: partial 16S ribosomal RNA
Rfam family: Bacterial small subunit ribosomal RNA
Source: RNAcentral
GACGAACGCUGGCGGCGUGCCUAAUACAUGCAAGUUGAGCGCUGAAGGUUGGUACUUGUACCAACUGGAUGAGCAGCGAACGGGUGAGUAACGCGUGGGGAAUCUGCCUUUGAGCGGGGGACAACAUUUGGAAACGAAUGCUAAUACCGCAUAAAAACUUUAAACACAAGUUUUAAGUUUGAAAGAUGCAAUUGCAUCACUCAAAGAUGAUCCCGCGUUGUAUUAGCUAGUUGGUGAGGUAAAGGCUCACCAAGGCGAUGAUACAUAGCCGACCUGAGAGGGUGAUCGGCCACAUUGGGACUGAGACACGGCCCAAACUCCUACGGGAGGCAGCAGUAGGGAAUCUUCGGCAAUGGACGAAAGUCUGACCGAGCAACGCCGCGUGAGGGAAGAAGGUUUUCGGAUCGUAAAACUCUGUUGGUAGAGAAGAACGUUGGUGAGAGUGGAAAGCUCAUCAAGUGACGGUAACUACACAGAAAGGGACGGCUAACUACGUG